GGAGGUGUAGCUCAGUGGUAGAGCAUAAGCUUAGCAUGUGUGAAACCCUAGGUUCAAUCCCAGCAUCCCCC
RNAcentral lists this transfer RNA (71 nucleotides) under Marmota monax (woodchuck). It matches the Rfam family "tRNA". From Rfam's summary of the family: Transfer RNA (tRNA) molecules are approximately 80 nucleotides in length. Their secondary structure includes four short double-helical elements and three loops (D, anti-codon, and T loops). Lineage: Eukaryota; Metazoa; Chordata; Mammalia; Rodentia; Sciuridae. The record is from Rfam by way of RNAcentral.